Molecule: ribosomal RNA, 765 nt
Filed under: uncultured Streptococcus sp.
Lineage: Bacteria; Bacillati; Bacillota; Bacilli; Lactobacillales; Streptococcaceae
Description: bacterial SSU rRNA
Rfam family: Bacterial small subunit ribosomal RNA
Source: RNAcentral
GACGAACGCUGGCGGCGUGCCUAAUACAUGCAAGUAGAACGCUGAAGAGAGGAGCUUGCUCUUCUUGGAUGAGUUGCGAACGGGUGAGUAACGCGUAGGUAACCUGCCUUGUAGCGGGGGAUAACUAUUGGAAACGAUAGCUAAUACCGCAUAACAAUGGAUGACACAUGUCAUUUAUUUGAAAGGGGCAAUUGCUCCACUACAAGAUGGACCUGCGUUGUAUUAGCUAGUAGGUGAGGUAAUGGCUCACCUAGGCGACGAUACAUAGCCGACCUGAGAGGGUGAUCGGCCACACUGGGACUGAGACACGGCCCAGACUCCUACGGGAGGCAGCAGUAGGGAAUCUUCGGCAAUGGGGGCAACCCUGACCGAGCAACGCCGCGUGAGUGAAGAAGGUUUUCGGAUCGUAAAGCUCUGUUGUAAGUCAAGAACGAGUGUGAGAGUGGAAAGUUCACACUGUGACGGUAGCUUACCAGAAAGGGACGGCUAACUACGUGCCAGCAGCCGCGGUAAUACGUAGGUCCCGAGCGUUGUCCGGAUUUAUUGGGCGUAAAGCGAGCGCAGGCGGUUUGAUAAGUCUGAAGUUAAAGGCUGUGGCUCAACCAUAGUUCGCUUUGGAAACUGUCAAACUUGAGUGCAGAAGGGGAGAGUGGAAUUCCAUGUGUAGCGGUGAAAUGCGUAGAUAUGUGGAGGAACACCAGUGGCGAAGGCGACUCUCUGGUCUGUAACUGACGCUGAGGCUCGAAAGCGUGGGGAGCAAACAGG